UAAUAAACUCCUUGCUCCCACAAUCC
RNAcentral lists this non-coding RNA (26 nucleotides) under Rattus norvegicus (Norway rat). Lineage: Eukaryota; Metazoa; Chordata; Mammalia; Rodentia; Muridae. The record is from RNAcentral.